Molecule: microRNA precursor, 59 nt
Filed under: Chrysemys picta bellii (western painted turtle)
Lineage: Eukaryota; Metazoa; Chordata; Testudines; Emydidae
Also listed under: 1 other name
Description: Cpi-Mir-133-P2-v1_pre stem-loop
Rfam family: mir-133 microRNA precursor family
About the family: mir-133 was first experimentally characterised in mouse and homologues have since been discovered in several other species. The mature sequence is excised from the 3' arm of the hairpin.
Source: RNAcentral
GCUGGUCAAACGGAACCAAGUCCGUCUUCCUUGGAGGUUUGGUCCCCUUCAACCAGCUA